This 1036-nucleotide long non-coding RNA is filed under the name Equus caballus (horse). RNAcentral describes it as "lncRNA (ENSECAG00000055404.1)". Lineage: Eukaryota; Metazoa; Chordata; Mammalia; Perissodactyla; Equidae. The record is from RNAcentral.
CUGGCUGAUUUUCCUGAGUAAAAGCAAAUGCAGGAUUUAUAAAUGGAAAAGAAGAGGAAGGAGAGAAAUUUCACAGCCAGUCUCGAAACAAUGAGUCUUUUUUCUCACGGAUUCUGUUUCCCCACCGCCCAGCCCCUGGUAACCACCAUUCUGCUUUGUCUCUAUGAGUUUAACGUUUUUAGAUUCCACAUAAAAUUAUAUUUUGAUGGCUUUGGAUGUCCUUCCCAGUUGCUUGGGUGGACUCGCCUGAGGGAGCAAGUCGACCUUGCUGAAGAAGCGUACAUCAUGGCUGCUCAAAACCAAGCUCAUGUUCUCCUGGCCCCCAGAAUGAUUCUCAAAGGGCCAAGAACUUCAUUUCAUCGAGUCUUCAUUUUGUUUUUUGGUGUUCUGAGCUUGUGCCUUUGUUUGUGUUCCUAGUUCUUGGCCAAGUAUGGUUCUGGCUCUGUGCUGUGCUCAGCAGAGAAUUAAUCCCCGUUGGUGGCAGCAGCGAUUGAGAACCAUGGUCUGACUGUUUAAUGAUGCUUGUCAGCUGGAUAGUGGGGAAAAGUUAUCCUUUAUGUUUGAGUUUGCAAUUUACUGUUUGGUUUGAGCCCAGGCACUGCGAAGUUCCAUGUCCACCUGCGGAUUUCUGUCCAGUAGAACACAUGACUUUUGUAUCAUAGAAAUCUUAUUCUAACAUUGUUUGAUUUCUAAAAUAAAUUUUCUGGAGCUGGCCCUGAUGCCCUAGUGGUUAACUUUUGGUGUUCUCACCACUUUGGUGGCCUGGGUUAGUUUCCCAGUCGUGGAACCACACCAUCUGUCUGUCAGUAGUCAUGCUGUGGUGGCAGCUCACAUAGAAGAACUAGGACUUCAGCUAAGAUAUACAUCCAUGCAGUGGAGCUUUAGGGAGGAAAAAAAAUAGGAAGAUUGGCAACAGAUGUUAGCUCUGGGUGAAUCUCCCCUGGAAAACAAAAAAGAUAAAAAUUAAUUUUCUGAUGGCCUAUAUAAAAACUAUCACUCUAAGAACUAGCUUUACUGUCUGAUUUCUUCAUCAAUG